Molecule: long non-coding RNA, 1740 nt
Filed under: Setaria viridis
Lineage: Eukaryota; Viridiplantae; Streptophyta; Magnoliopsida; Poales; Poaceae
Description: long non-coding RNA (SVIR_LNC003094)
Source: RNAcentral
CUGGCGCCGGCCCGCUCGUAGGCAAUGCCUGGCCCGGAGAAGAAAAUCACGAAACGGUGGUUGAACCUGAUCAAUUACAGCGGCCUCACCUCCCUGUAGCGUAGAGGAAUUUCCCCUCUAACGGUCGAACGACUACGGCGCAUAGAUUUCCAACCACUGAUCGAUAAAGUGGCGAGCAAACUGUCAAAGCGGAAGGGAAGGAACCUCACGCAGGCCGGCCGAUUAUGCCUCACCAAGUCUGUCCUAUCCUCACAACCCGUCUACACCCUAACGGCCCUCAGAACGCCCAAAGAAGUACCAGAGGACAUCGACAAAAUAAGAAAACGUUUUCUAUGGGCGGGAGACAACGAGCUUACCGGGGAAAAAUGCAAGAUCAACUGGACGAGGACAACUUUACCGAAAGAGCAUGGCGGCGUUGGAAUUCUAGACCUUCAUAAAUUCGCAAGAGCGCUCCGCCUUAGAUGGCUAUGGCAUGAAUGGGCUUCCCCGGACAAGACGUGGGUCGGAACCGAAACACCAUGCGACGACUGAGAUAGACUGCUUUUCGCUGCAUGUACGACGAUCCAAAUCGGCAAUGGGGACAAGACACGUUUCUGGCAGGAUGCGUGGGUAGCAGGCUGGCGACCAAAGGACAUCGCUCCACAACUCUACGCAAAAACCAAAAGGAAAAAGAAGACAGUGCGAGAGGCAAUCCACAACAACAACUGGAUCAGAGAUCUUCAACACACAACAGGCCUUACAAACACCCUCUUGAACGAAUUCGUAGACCUAUGGCCUCUGAUCCAACAGUACCAAUUAAACCCGAGUCAGGAGGACGGAAUUACAUGGAAAUUCACCCAGAGCGGUCAAUACACCACCGCUUCAGCAUAUAAGGCUCAACUCCUAGGUAGCGUGAAGGCGACUAAUCUUGCAACAGUGUGGCAAGCCUGGACACCAGCAAAAUGCAAAGUUUUCGUCUGGCUAAUUCUCCAAAAUAGGGUCUGGACUUCGGACAAACUAGCAAAACGGGGCUGGGACCACACCCCAACAUGCACCCUAUGCCGAUGCACGAUGGAGACUGCGCAUCAUCUCCUAGCCGAAUGAAGAUACACAAAGCAAAUUUGAAAACUCGUGGCCCAAUGGUUGUCACAAGAAAGCCUGCAACCGGGUCAAUGAAAGCACAGCAUAACGGCCAUAGAUUGGUGGACCAAUAUCACAUCAACAAUAGGAAUCCCGCGUAAAGCGUCCCGAAACCUCGCCCUCCUCAUUAUGUGGGAAAUAUGGAACGAGCGAAACUCCCGUAUCUUCCGCCACCAGGGUUCCCCGAUGACAUCACUAAUGACGAAAAUCAAAUCCUCAACCAACAUGUGGGUAGCAGCGGGAGCGAGAGGCCUAGCGGCCCUUCUUUACUAAACACAACACUCUGGGUGCCUCCCUGCUCUUUUUUCCUUUUCCUUUUUCCCCUCCUCUAUGAAUGAAAUAGGCACACUCUCGUGCCCUCUUCCGUUCAAAAAAAAUUACAGCGGCCUCCACGCGAGUGCGGCGUUGUACCGUUGAGCACCGGCCGCCGCCACUCGAUGGCCUACUGCGGUCGCCAAGAAGGCGCCCGCGAGCGGCGCCGGCAUUGGCACGGCCACUCAGGGCGAAGUGACGAGUCGAGCUCGAGCACCGAUGCGGGCGGGGUGACUGGAUGGCGCACGCACGCAUGAGUUGGCGUCGUCCGCAUGCUCAGGGAGACUGCGCACAGGCGAAGGUGAGGCC